Molecule: ribosomal RNA, 255 nt
Filed under: uncultured bacterium
Lineage: Bacteria
Description: partial 16S ribosomal RNA
Rfam family: Bacterial small subunit ribosomal RNA
Source: RNAcentral
UACGAAGGGGGCUAGCGUUGUUCGGAAUUACUGGGCGUAAAGCGCACGUAGGCGGAAUGUUAAGUCAGGGGUGAAAUCCCGGGGCUCAACCCCGGAACUGCCUUUGAUACUGGCAUUCUCGAGUCCGGAAGAGGUGAGUGGAAUUCCGAGUGUAGAGGUGAAAUUCGUAGAUAUUCGGAGGAACACCAGUGGCGAAGGCGGCUCACUGGUCCGGUACUGACGCUGAGACGGCGAAAGCGUGGGGAGCCAAACAGG